UUCGGCCCACUACGACUGGUAACUUCACCGGUUGAAUGCAAGUAGUGAUGGUAACCGCCUCUACGCGACCAACCAAACAAUAUCUAUUUUUUGAAUUUCGGGUUCGUACGUGUAACCAAUCACCGUAUCCUCGCGGCCUGGUUCAACUGAAACUACAACCAAACACGACCCCUUUGCAUCCCCAGAACCUGGUUCCGGUCGGCCUGGUUCCCUGGUGCUAGCCAAGCUCCUCAAGGAAGAGAACCAAUCACACCCUUCAUCUCCAGCAGUAACGAGCCUGCCUGACCAGCUGACCUUACCCCUUCUUCGGCCUCUCUCUGCUUUGCGUUCUCACUCCCGUUGCCAAGCUGCCUACUCCAAUCCUCCAUCCUCUCC
Molecule: long non-coding RNA, 375 nt
Filed under: Setaria viridis
Lineage: Eukaryota; Viridiplantae; Streptophyta; Magnoliopsida; Poales; Poaceae
Description: long non-coding RNA (SVIR_LNC002743)
Source: RNAcentral